Long non-coding RNA from Pecten maximus, 422 nucleotides. RefSeq lists it as uncharacterized. The record is from RefSeq and is a predicted model, not a curated record. The transcript is spliced from 2 exons. Lineage: Eukaryota; Metazoa; Mollusca; Bivalvia; Pectinida; Pectinidae.
UUGAACUGUCGCGUUACCUUUAUAGCGUGCACACUUACUCGACAAGAGCGUGACACAAGAUAUGCGCUAAUCUCACCUGGGUAAGAUCGUUAUCAGGUCAGGACACCUGAACAGGUAUAUCGUAUGAAGUGAUACAGGUAAACACUUGGUAUCACAAUACGUACCUCUGUAUGUUCAAUCUAAUUAUGCCUGGACAUGCACAACAUGGAGGUUUUAUAUAAGGCUUUAAUGUCCUUGCAAUAUGUCAGCCAUGGUCAUUUGAGGACAAGUGUCAAGGAGACACCUAUAGAGGAAAACAGAGACGAAGAGAUUCAGAGCAGUGAGGAAAGAAAGGAAAGAUUUAAAAUCCCAAAUAAGAGUUACAAUGGGAACAGAAGAUCUGUUUUGGUCGCCUAAUUCUUCUCUUGUGAUUUUGAAACAAA